UAAAAGUCAACUGUUUUUGCAUCACUUUU
RNAcentral lists this non-coding RNA (29 nucleotides) under Mus musculus (house mouse). Lineage: Eukaryota; Metazoa; Chordata; Mammalia; Rodentia; Muridae. The record is from RNAcentral.